Non-coding RNA from Gymnothorax javanicus (giant moray), 74 nucleotides. NCBI's taxonomy places the organism in Eukaryota, Metazoa, Chordata, Actinopteri, Anguilliformes, Muraenidae. The record is from the annotation of a GenBank genome assembly.
GGGCCUCUAGCUCAGUGGUUAGAGUACUGAUCUUGUAAACCAGCCCGCAUAAGUUCAAUCCUUGCUGGGGCCUA